Molecule: ribosomal RNA, 480 nt
Filed under: uncultured bacterium
Lineage: Bacteria
Description: bacterial SSU rRNA
Rfam family: Bacterial small subunit ribosomal RNA
Source: RNAcentral
GAUGAACGCUGGCGGCGUGCCUAACACAUGCAAGUCGAGCGUGAACCCUGCGAAUGAAACUUCGGUCGAUUUUGCAGGGGGGAAAGCGGCGGACGGGUGAGUAACGCGUAGGUAACCUGCCCCAUACUGAGGGAUAGCCUCGGGAAACCGGGAUUAAUACCUCAUAACACCGUAUAUUCGCAUGGAUGUGCGGUCAAAAGAUUUAUCGGUAUGGGAUGGGCCUGCGUCUGAUUAGCUGGUUGGUGGGGUAACGGCCUACCAAGGCGACGAUCAGUAGCCGACCUGAGAGGGUGAUCGGCCACAUUGGAACUGAGACACGGUCCAAACUCCUACGGGAGGCAGCAGUGGGGAAUAUUGCACAAUGGGCGAAAGCCUGAUGCAGCAACGCCGCGUGAGCGAAGAAGGCCUUUGGGUCGUAAAGCUCUGUCGGGUAGGAAGAUAAUGACGGUACUACCCGAGGAAGCCCCGGCUAACUACGUG